RNAcentral lists this long non-coding RNA (559 nucleotides) under Elaeis guineensis (African oil palm). Its description in RNAcentral is "long non-coding RNA (EGUI_LNC054163)". The record is from RNAcentral. Lineage: Eukaryota; Viridiplantae; Streptophyta; Magnoliopsida; Arecales; Arecaceae.
UAUCAGAAGAGUCUGUUAGGACUUGCAAAAUAUCAUACAUCUGUGGCUCCGACCAAUUUACACACACAUAACACUACUGCUUCCGCAAGUUUUGUGGAAGAAGACAAAGGGAUGAAGAGGGAAGAAGAGGAUUAGAAGAGGUUUAGAUGGAAGAGAACAAGGGAGAAAAGAAGAUGGAGAUGGAAAAGAGGAACUCUGCCAUUAGCUUGAUAUCCCUCUCGACCUAUCUCUCCACUCUCGAUCUCCCCCUCAGUGAAUGCCUUCUUAGUUCUUUAUAGACAAGUGAAGAAACUAUGCGGACUUCAAUUAGUUUGGAGUCUGGAUGGAUUUCAUCUGGUUUGGAAUCCGAAAGCCUCUGGAUGUGGGAAUCAAAGUUGAAACUUAAUUAAUUUUAAAUCCAAUUUUCUGUAGCAUACAGUGUCAGAAAUCUUCUUAUAAAUGAAUAGUGGUGAUACUAGAAAUCUUCUUGUAGUUUCUUUAUUGUCUUUGGAUCCGACUUCAAUAGUGAUCAUUGUUGAUAUUAUCUCUAGAAGAUGGUGGUGGUCAUCUCAUUGUGGCG